This 85-nucleotide transfer RNA is filed under the name Rhizobium sp. Its description in RNAcentral is "tRNA-Tyr". It matches the Rfam family "tRNA". From Rfam's summary of the family: Transfer RNA (tRNA) molecules are approximately 80 nucleotides in length. Their secondary structure includes four short double-helical elements and three loops (D, anti-codon, and T loops). Further hydrogen bonds mediate the characteristic L-shaped molecular structure. tRNAs have two regions of fundamental functional importance: the anti-codon, which is responsible for specific mRNA codon recognition, and the 3' end, to which the tRNAs corresponding amino acid is attached (by aminoacyl-tRNA synthetases). tRNAs cope with the degeneracy of the genetic code in two manners: having more than one tRNA (with a specific anti-codon) for a particular amino acid; and 'wobble' base-pairing, i.e. permitting non-standard base-pairing at the 3rd anti-codon position. Lineage: Bacteria; Pseudomonadati; Pseudomonadota; Alphaproteobacteria; Hyphomicrobiales; Rhizobiaceae. The record is from RNAcentral.
GGAGAGAUGCCCGAGUGGUUAAAGGGGACGGACUGUAAAUCCGUUGGCUCAGCCUACGUUGGUUCAAAUCCAACUCCCUCCACCA